Molecule: ribosomal RNA, 253 nt
Filed under: uncultured bacterium
Lineage: Bacteria
Description: partial 16S ribosomal RNA
Rfam family: Bacterial small subunit ribosomal RNA
Source: RNAcentral
UACGUAGGGGGCUAGCGUUGUCCGGAAUCAUUGGGCGUAAAGCGCGUGUAGGCGGCCCGGUAAGUCCGCUGUGAAAGUCGGGGGCUCAACCCUCGGAUGCCGGUGGAUACUGUCGGGCUCGAGUACGGAAGAGGCGAGUGGAAUUCCUGGUGUAGUGGUGAAAUGCGUAGAUAUCGGGAGGAACACCAGUGGCGAAGGCGACUACCUGGCCUGUUCUUGACGCUGAGGCGCGAAAGCUAGGGGAGCAAACGGG